AUGCCUUCCCUUGGCUUGGCUCUUAUGCUGCUGGCCUCUUUGAUCUCUCCGGCGAGCUCCUGCACGGAGCAGGAGAAGAUCUCCCUUCUCCGGCUCCUCGCCGGGCUCUCGUGGAACGGUGGCCUCGCGACGUCGUGGCGGAGCAACACCGACUGCUGCACAUGGCAAGGGAUCACCUGCAACCAAGAUAGGAAGGUCACCGAUGUUUCGCUGGAUUCUCGAGGCCUCGAGGGGUCUAUCUCGCCAUCCCUCGGCAACCUCACCGAGCUCUUGCGCCUCAACCUGUCGCGCAACUCUUUGUCCGGCGCCUUGCCGCUGGAGUUGGUGUCAUCCAGCAGCAUAAUCGUCCUUGACGUCAGCUUCAACCGCCUGACAGGGGCGCUGCAUGAGCUGCCAUCUUCAACCCCUGUGCGGCCUCUGCAAGUACUCAACAUCUCAAGCAACUUAUUUACAGGCCAGUUUCCGUCCACCACAUGGAAAGCAAUGGAGAAUUUGGUCGCACUCAAUGCCAGUAACAACAGCUUUACUGGACAGAUACCAUCGACGCCAUGUGCGAGCGCGCCAUCUUUGGCCGUGCUUGAACUCAGUUUUAACAAAUUCAGUGGAAAUAUCCCUCCAGGACUUGGUAAUUGCUCCGUGCUGAAGAUGCUCAGCACUGGCUACAACAACCUCUGUGGGACUCUUCCAGGCGAGCUCUUCAAUGUUACCACGUUAGAGCACCUCUCUUUGCCUAACAAUUGGUUAGACGGAGGUGUCAAUGGCAUCGGCAAGCUCACAAAUCUGGUCACCCUUGAUCUUGGGCAGAAUGGUUUCAGUGGCAACAUUCCAGAGUCUAUAGGUGAUCUGGAGAGAUUGGAGGAGCUGCAUUUGGAACACAACAAUAUGUCAGGGGAGCUGCCAACAGCUCUAAGCAACUGCACAAAUCUCGUAACAAUUGACCUCAACACCAACCGCUUCAGUGGAGAACUCAACAAGGUCAAGUUCGCGAGCCUGUCCAACCUAAGAAAAUUAGAUCUUCUUUUCAACGACUUCACCGGCACAAUUCCAGAAAGCAUAUACUCCUGCACCAAUCUGACUGCACUGCGACUAUCUUACAAUCAAUUCCAUGGUCAAUUGUCAGAGAAAAUAAGCAAUCUGAAGUACCUCUCAUUCCUAUCACUUUCUAAUAACUCGCUUACAAAUAUCACAAGGACACUUCAGAUCCUUAGUAGUUCCAAGAGCCUCACUACCCUUUAUAUUGGAUGCAACUUCCUGGAUGAGACCAUGCCACAGGAUGACAGCAUUGAUGGUUUUGAGAACCUUCAGGUUCUUUCCAUGAGUGAGUGUUCAUUGUCUGGAAAAAUACCUGAUUGGUUAUCAAAACUCACAAAUUUGGGGAUGCUAUUUUUGCAAAGCAAUCAACUAACUGGACCGGUACCUGACUGGAUCAGCAGCCUGAACUUGCUCUUCUAUCUAGACAUAUCAAACAACAGCUUUACAGGGGAUAUUCCAGCUGCCUUAAUGGAGAUGCCAAUGCUGAGAUCAGACAAGACUCCACCAAAGGUCUUCUUUGAGCUGCUUGUUUGGAACGAGAACACAUUUAUGCAGUACCUCAUGCUCAGUGCUUUUCCUAAGGUGCUUAAUCUAGCCAUCAAUAAUUUCACUGGUGUGAUCCCAGAGGAGAUCGGACAGUUAAAAGGACUCAUUUCACUGAACUUGAGCUCUAAUGGAUUUUCCGGAGGGAUACCAGAACAGAUCUGCAACCUCACGAACCUCCAGGUGCUUGACUUGUCUGGUAAUCAACUCACUGGUACAAUUCCAGCUGCACUGAAAAAUCUGCAUUUCCUUUCCAGAUUCAAUGUUUCUAAUAAUGACCUGGAAGGCCCUAUUCCAAACGUCGGCCAGUUUAGCACAUUUCCGGAUUCUAGCUUUGGUGGAAACCCAAAACUGUGUAGCCCUAUGAUCACAAACCAAUGUGGUUCAGCAGAAGCAGGUCCGGUCUCCACAAAACACAUUGGUAAUGAGGUUAUCUUUGCAAUCGCCUUUGGUAUUUUCUUUGGUGUAGGAGUCCUAUAUGACCAGAUAGUCUUAGCCAGAUAUUUUGGCUAA
RNAcentral lists this ribosomal RNA (2088 nucleotides) under Triticum aestivum (bread wheat). RNAcentral's name for it is "partial small subunit ribosomal RNA". The record is from RNAcentral. Lineage: Eukaryota; Viridiplantae; Streptophyta; Magnoliopsida; Poales; Poaceae.